AACGAACGCUGGCGGCAUGCCUAACACAUGCAAGUCGAACGAGACCUUCGGGUCUAGUGGCGCACGGGUGCGUAACGCGUGGGAAUCUGCCCUUCGGUUGGGAAUAACUGAGAGAAAUUUCAGCUAAUACCUUAUAAUGUCUUCGGACCAAAGAUUUAUCGCCGAGGGAUGAGCCCGCGUAGGAUUAGGUAGUUGGUGGGGUAAUGGCCUACCAAGCCGACGAUCCUUAGCUGGUCUGAGAGGAUGAUCAGCCACACUGGGACUGAGACACGGCCCAGACUCCUACGGGAGGCAGCAGUGGGGAAUAUUGGACAAUGGGCGAAAGCCUGAUCCAGCAAGGCCGCGUGAGUGAUGAAGGCCUUAGGGUUGUAAAGCUCUUUUACCCGGGAUGAUAAUGACAGUACCGGGAGAAUAAGCACCGGCUAACUCCGUG
This 433-nucleotide ribosomal RNA is filed under the name uncultured bacterium. RNAcentral describes it as "partial 16S ribosomal RNA". It matches the Rfam family "Bacterial small subunit ribosomal RNA", at positions 29 to 507 of the family's 1533-position model. The record is from RNAcentral.